AGCAUAUCAAUAAGCGGAGGAAAAGAAACCAACAGGGAUUGCCCUAGUAACGGCGAGUGAAGCGGCAACAGCUCAAAUUUGAAAUCUGGCUCUUUUAGAGUCCGAGUUGUAAUUUGCAGAGGGCGCUUUGGCUUUGGCAGCGGUCCAAGUUCCUUGGAACAGGACGUCACAGAGGGUGAGAAUCCCGUACGUGGUCGCUGGCUAUUGCCGUGUAAAGCCCCUUCGACGAGUCGAGUUGUUUGGGAAUGCAGCUCUAAAUGGGAGGUACAUUUCUUCUAAAGCUAAAUAUUGGCCAGAGACCGAUAGCGCACAAGUAGAGUGAUCGAAAGAUGAAAAGCACUUUGGAAAGAGAGUCAAACAGCACGUGAAAUUGUUGAAAGGGAAGCGCUUGCAGCCAGACUUGCUUACAGUUGCUCAUCCGGGUUUUUACCCGGUGCACUCUUCUGUAGGCAGGCCAGCAUCAGUUUGGGCGGUAGGAUAAAGGUCUCUGUCACGUACCUCCUUUCGGGGAGGCCUUAUAGGGGAGACGACAUACUACCAGCCUGGACUGAGGUCCGCGCAUCUGCUAGGAUGCUGGCGUAAUGGCUGUAAGCGGCCCG
Molecule: ribosomal RNA, 599 nt
Filed under: Alternaria cerealis
Lineage: Eukaryota; Fungi; Ascomycota; Dothideomycetes; Pleosporales; Pleosporaceae
Description: LSU rRNA
Rfam family: Eukaryotic large subunit ribosomal RNA
Source: RNAcentral